This 430-nucleotide ribosomal RNA is filed under the name Pseudomonadota bacterium. Its description in RNAcentral is "Proteobacteria bacterium partial 16S ribosomal RNA". It matches the Rfam family "Bacterial small subunit ribosomal RNA", at positions 355 to 776 of the family's 1533-position model. Lineage: Bacteria; Pseudomonadati; Pseudomonadota. The record is from RNAcentral.
UGGGGAAUAUUGGACAAUGGGGGGAACCCUGAUCCAGCCAUGCCGCGUGUGUGAAGAAGGCCUUAUGGUUGUAAAGCACUUUAAGCGAGGAGGAGGGUACUGGUAUUAAUACUACCAGCUACUGGACGUUACUCGCAGAAUAAGCACCGGCUAACUCUGUGCCAGCAGCCGCGGUAAUACAGAGGGUGCGAGCGUUAAUCGGAUUUACUGGGCGUAAAGCGUGCGUAGGCGGCUAAUUGAGUCGGAUGUGAAAUCCCUGGGCUUAACUUAGGAAAUGCAUUCGAUACUGGUCAGCUAGAGUAUGGGAGAGGAUGGUAGAAUUCCAGGUGUAGCGGUGAAAUGCGUAGAGAUCUGGAGGAAUACCGAUGGCGAAGGCAGCCAUCUGGCCUAAUACUGACGCUGAGGUACGAAAGCAUGGGGAGCAAACAGG